This 580-nucleotide small RNA is filed under the name uncultured Peziza. RNAcentral describes it as "eukaryotic LSU rRNA". The stretch from base 231 to 384 matches the Rfam family "5.8S ribosomal RNA". Lineage: Eukaryota; Fungi; Ascomycota; Pezizomycetes; Pezizales; Pezizaceae. The record is from RNAcentral.
UUGAACACUAUCUUUAUAGUUUUCAUCUGAUAAAACCCAUUUGUUUACCUUAUACCAUAUUGCUUCCACUGGACAGGUUAAAUAUGUAUUUGAUUAUAUAUGUUGGCCCUUUAGUUAAUUGCUAUUUCAUAGAUAAUAAACUAGAGAGUAGCCAGUGGAUGAAAACAACCAAAUUAAAAAACCUCUGUAAAAACAAAUAUUGUCUGAAUUUGAAUUGUAAAUGAAAAUAAAACUUUCAACAACGGAUCUCUAGGCUCUUGUAUCGAUGAAGAACGCAGUAAAAUGCGAUAAGUAAUGUGAAUUGCAGAAUCUCGUGAAUCAUUGAAUCUUUGAACGCACAUUGCGCCCUAUAGAAUUCUGUAGGGCAUGCCUGUCUGAGUGUCAUUAGUCACUAUCAGAUCUUUGAUUAUUUUUAUAAUCUUUGAUUUGGAUUUAUUUAGAGAUGUAAUCUAUAUUUAUCAGAUUACCCUUUGGAAAAAUAAAAGGCAGCCAAUUUAAAAAUUAGCAUUAAGCGUAAUAUUCAAACAUUUCGCUUAUGGUAUAUAAUUAUGGCUUGUCUAUAACCCACUUAAUUUUUUGG